Molecule: ribosomal RNA, 497 nt
Filed under: uncultured bacterium
Lineage: Bacteria
Description: partial 16S ribosomal RNA
Rfam family: Bacterial small subunit ribosomal RNA
Source: RNAcentral
GAUGAACGCUGGCGGCGUGCCUAAUACAUGCAAGUCGAGCGAACAGAUGAGGAGCUUGCUCCUCUGACGUUAGCGGCGGACGGGUGAGUAACACGUGGAUAGCCUACCUAUAAGACUGGGAUAACUUCGGGAAACCGGAGCUAAUACCGGAUAAUAUAUUGAACCGCAUGGUUCAAUAGUGAAAGACGGUUUUGCUGUCACUUAUAGAUGGAUCCGCGCCGCAUUAGCUAGUUGGUAAGGUAACGGCUUACCAAGGCAACGAUGCGUAGCCGACCUGAGAGGGUGAUCGGCCACACUGGAACUGAGACACGGUCCAGACUCCUACGGGAGGCAGCAGUAGGGAAUCUUCCGCAAUGGGCGAAAGCCUGACGGAGCAACACCGCGUGAGUGAUGAAGGUCUUCGGAUCGUAAAACUCUGUUAUUAGGGAAGAACAAAUGUGUAAGUAACUAUGCACGUCUUGACGGUACCUAAUCAGAAAGCCACGGCUAACUACGUG